Long non-coding RNA from Brienomyrus brachyistius, 547 nucleotides. RefSeq lists it as uncharacterized. NCBI's taxonomy places the organism in Eukaryota, Metazoa, Chordata, Actinopteri, Osteoglossiformes, Mormyridae. The record is from RefSeq and is a predicted model, not a curated record. The transcript is spliced from 3 exons.
AAGGGGAUGCCUUUUUCGGCAAGCACCUGCUGGAAAAGGCAUCCCCCCUGUUAAAAAUGGAUCUACUGCACCUACGCUGCUGAAACUUGCACAGGUAACUUAACACUCUCUCAAAUACAAAGUCCUAAAGGCACUUGAUGAUGGGAGCUGCAGAAAUCCAAAAUCCAAGGGGAUGCCUUUUUCGGCCUGCACCUGCCGGAAAAGGUAUCCCCCUGUUAAAACUGUUACGUAACAGCUCAGAUCUCCACGAUGCUUGGGCAGGCAAAGAUGUGCAUGUACUGUUGUCCAAAAUUGGACCAUACAAGAUAUUCUACUGGGACAUAAAGAAGACUGGUCCUCACCAGCAGCUUGAGAGCGAGGUAAUUAAUGCUUUCUUAAGGUUGCUGGUCAUUGAGAACAAUAAGGUCAACAUGAGUAAGGCAGUCAUGAUUGACUCUUAUGAAAUGACAGCAAUCUGGAUGGGGAGGACAUCCAAAGUUAAAAUGAGUCCAAUGGAUUUCCAAACAGUUUUGGGCAUUGUUAAUGUGCAUUACCACUGGAUGCUGAU